UCAAAGUCUCAUGCGCAAUCUUCCUAAUAGUCUCCACCUUUGUCCUAGGAACAGCUGGACCUCUCAGGUGAAAUUCAUGAUAAAGUAGCAAGCAGCGUUAAGGAAUCAGUCUCAAAUGUAAAUGUAGUCUUAGACAAGAGGACUCUAUCCUGAGCUACCAUCUAACUGAGGGACCAUCUCCCAAUCCCCAAAUCUUCUAAAUGAUAACUUUUAUCACUACACUUCCCUGCCAGAUGCCCUUCAUCCUUCCCAGCCUCUCUUCAAGCAGAAUUCCUGCUGGCUUCACAAGGAAAGACGCAUGACGUGCAACAUGAAGCAGAGGGACACUUGCACAUACUUUUAACAACAACAGUGUUUCUUAUUAAAUCCAGUGGUAUUGUUCAAAGCUACUAUAAGAAGAAAACUGACAAGGCUGUGCACGGAUCUUUGUUUGCGCUGCUAUGUUUCAAACCACUUGAGAAACUGUGAUAGCUAGUUACCAUGGUGUCCUCAAGACCUCUUGAGAUGUGUAUGGAGCCUUGUAGUUUGGCUAAUUGUGUGGUUUCUUAAAUAGGGAAUUCAAGUAUUAAUGGAUAGGAGUAUUUACUUUCCACAAAUUAAACCAGAUAAAACUUAUUAUGUAACUCUUCAUACACAUUUGGUAUCUUCAGCUUUCCUAUUUUGUGGCUUGUAGCACUUACCAUAAAUAAAAAGCACACAUACUUUUUUGCGCAUAUAAUGUACCACAGAAUAUUACACACACCCAUUUUUGAAGGACCCCACAACAGGAAAAAAAAUCUCACGUUGGAGUAGUGAGUGCCAGAGGUCUGGGGGCUGCCUGCUGGGGCCAGCCCAAUCCAGCACACCAGCACCAGGGCCACAAAGCACAGUGGGACAUGAUUCAACAUGCUACAUAGUAGGCCCCAAUUUGGGAUGCAGUUUUUGGGUCCAAUCCUGCACAUUGGCUCUGGGGCCCUGCACAGUCCUGACUUGGACUGCUCACUGGCUCUGGAACAAUGUGCUGGGUCCAGGGCUGUGUGCUUGGUUGGAUCUGGUGCACUGAGUCUAUCCAUGGACCAACCUCAACUGCAGUCCUGAUCCAGCAUGCAGUGGGGAAGGCGGGCUCCUCCCAGGUCCAGAAACUUGGCAGCAGAGGGGCAAAGGGGGAAAGGGAAGGAGUGAUGCUAGUGUUAAUUACCAUGGCUCCUAGAGCUGCAGCAAUUAAUGCUGCCGCUGCUCCAAUACUUCCCCCCCCUCCCCCCAAAUUUCCAGACUCAUAGGGAGUCCUUUUCCUCAUACAUAAUGUACACCCCAAUUUUCCCCAGCUAGUUUUGGGGGGAAAAGGAUGAAGGUUAUAUGCAAGAAAAUGGUAAUUUCUAGAAACAAGGAGCUUGAUAUUGCAAGCUGUUGAUUCUGUCCUCACUCAGUAAAAUGGCAUAGUACCAAGAAUUGUUGAAAAAAGUAAAGCUGGAAGAUCAAAGGUCCUCUUAACCCUUGCAGCCCAUGGCAUUAACUUGGUUAAAAUGCACCAGUUUUUGUAGCCCAUGGUGGAGACUGGAGUGAUGUGAUUAGCAUCAUGUCUGGUCACUUGAUGCUUCAACCAGAUGACCACCUCCACAUUUGCAGCUGGGUCAAAGGUGGCCUUUGAAUUCUGAAGCUUGCAAGAUGCAUUAACCACCCUACUACUGUGCCUCUAAGGGGAUGUUAAGAGACCAUCCCUCCACACUGAGGGGGGAUAAUGUGCAGUCCCACUGACUUCAACAGGAUUACUUUCAAACUUUAGGUUAGCUUAAGUGACCACUACUUCGCAGGACUGAGCCCAACUUAGGAAGAGUACAUCAGUUAAACAGUUUUGUGUAGCAUGCUGGGUUUUUUUUUCUCAAAAAAGAGUAAUUAAGAUUGUUACUUCUUUCUAAAUUCCCUGAGGUUUCUGUGGAAGCAACCAAGCCUGUGAUAAAAGUAAUUGCUUAUGAGGCAGUCCCCUACACAGCAAAUUAAAAGAAUUGUAUGAUAGGGUUGUGAAGACAGCCAUUUGCCAAACCUAAAGAAUUGGAGCUAACAGCUGAAAAACAACAUGCAAGUUGUUCCAGAGGAAACAUGAUCUUAAAAUAGAGGAGUGAAGGGAAUCCUAGGGACCUCAAGGGCCAUCUAAUCUAACCCCUUUCACUGAUGUAGGAUAUACUGUUUCUAAAUUGUUAUAGAAAGCUGCGUAUUCUGUUAGUGAGUUAAUCUCAGAGAGAAUUUUUGCUCUCUUACAGCAGUAUCACUCCAUCACCUGCCAGCCUCAUUUGAAGCAUUUUGCUCUGUUACAUGUGCAUCAUCUUUAAUUAUUUUGUACUGGGAACAUUUAAUAAAAAAAGUAAUAGCCUCUAUAAACUGACCACGU
Molecule: long non-coding RNA, 2365 nt
Organism: Alligator mississippiensis (American alligator)
Lineage: Eukaryota; Metazoa; Chordata; Crocodylia; Alligatoridae
Exons: 3
Source: RefSeq, a predicted model, not a curated record